UCUGGGAUAGCUCAGUCAGUAGAGCACGAGACUCUUAAUCUCAGGGCUGUGGGUUCGAGCCCAAGACUGGGCAGAA
This is a non-coding RNA of Podarcis lilfordi (Lilford's wall lizard), 76 nucleotides long. The record is from the annotation of a GenBank genome assembly. Lineage: Eukaryota; Metazoa; Chordata; Lepidosauria; Squamata; Lacertidae.